RNAcentral lists this ribosomal RNA (270 nucleotides) under uncultured archaeon. Its description in RNAcentral is "partial 16S ribosomal RNA". It matches the Rfam family "Archaeal small subunit ribosomal RNA", at positions 477 to 747 of the family's 1478-position model. The record is from RNAcentral.
CAGCACCUCAAGUGGUCGGGAUAAUUAUUGGGCUUAAAGUGUCCGUAGCCGGUUUAGUAAGUUCCUGGUAAAAUCGGGUAGCUUAACUAUCUAUAUGCUAGGAAUACUGCUAUACUAGAGGGCGGGAGAGGUCUGAGGUACUACAGGGGUAGGGGUGAAAUCUUAUAAUUCUUGUAGGACCACCAGUGGCGAAGGCGUCAGACUGGAACGCGCCUGACGGUGAGGGACGAAAGCCAGGGGAGCGAACCGGAUUAGAUACCCGAGUAGUCC